Molecule: ribosomal RNA, 419 nt
Filed under: bacterium
Lineage: Bacteria
Description: partial 16S ribosomal RNA
Rfam family: Bacterial small subunit ribosomal RNA
Source: RNAcentral
UGGGGGAUAUUGCACAAUGGGCGAAAGCCUGAUGCAGCAACGCCGCGUGGGGGAUGAAGGCCUUCGGGUUGUAAACUUCUUUUGCUCUGAACAAGGCGCACCAUGGCGUGUGUUUAGUGUAGGGGUUGAUUAGCGCCGGCUAACUACGUGCCAGCAGCCGCGGUAAUACGUAGGGCGCGAGCGCUGUCCGGAAUUAUUGGGCGUAAAGGGCUCGUAGGUGGCUGGUUGCGUCUGUCGUGAAAGCUCAUGGCUUAACUGUGGGUUUGCGGUGGGUACGGGCUGGCUUGAGUGCAGUAGGAGAGGCUGGAAUUCCUGGUGUAGCGGUGGAAUGCGCAGAUAUCAGGAGGAAUACCGGUGGCGAAGGCGGGUCUCUGGGCUGUUACUGACGCUGAGGAGCGAAAGCAUGGGGAGCGAACAGG